Molecule: long non-coding RNA, 943 nt
Filed under: Equus caballus (horse)
Lineage: Eukaryota; Metazoa; Chordata; Mammalia; Perissodactyla; Equidae
Description: lncRNA (ENSECAG00000028794.2)
Source: RNAcentral
CGAUUCCUCCUCGAUCACAACCACAACGUGGGCAGGAGCGGACGGGGCGGAGCCGCGGGGGCCGGGAGACGGGUGCUAGUAUAUAAACUUGUAAUUGGCUCUGGCUCCCGGCUCCGGGCACUGGGCGAUGUUUCCAACCAGAUGGAUUGUGAGGCCCGGCAGCUCCCUAGUCCCUUUUCUUCCCCCUCCUCCCAGCGUCCCCUCGCUGCCCAAGCCCCACCCUUCGGCCUUCGCAAGUCUACCAAAAUUUCUCUUUCCAGUCCUCCCCUGCAUGACGGAUGGCACCCAGAAGGCACUAUUAUUUGAAAAUGCAAACGGGGCUGCUAGUCACACCUUUGCAGCUGCUUUUCCCAAGCCCUCAGAGAGACCCCUGCUGCUGGGAGAGGCACAGAAGUGAAAGGGAUGGGGAGGAAGGAAAAGCAGUGAAAUAAUCAGGCUGGUUGGAUUCCAAAGCUACAAUCCUGGUUUUAAAGUCUGAUCAGGCAUCCUGAGAUUUGUGUGCCUAGCAUGUCUUCAGCAGGCAGCACUGGGAUUGCAGCUCAUUGAAAUCAAUCCACAACCUCUCUGAGAAAAGUGGCCAAAAGAUGUUACCAUGUCUUCCUUCAUCCCACAAAUAUUUUUUGAGCACCUACUCUGUGCCAGACCCUUGGCACCAGGGUACCAGGGGUUUAGCAAUGAACAGGACAGGAAAAAUCUCUGCUGACAUUCUGGUGGGGCAAGAAACAAUCAACAGGAAAAUUUAGAAGUGCUCACUGUUCCCGAGGGUGGAGAACAUACUGUAUCCUCGUUUCCAUGCCCGCUGCACUCCCGUGCAUUCUGCACAUAGCUGGCAUGCAGAGAAAGUUUGUGGGAUUGAAAUACAUGGAACUGAAUUUUUGUGGAGCCCCUGAGAGAGACAUGAACAACCUAGAGAGUCCUGAGGAAUCCCAACAAGGGAGGGGAG